UACGAAGGGGGCUAGCGUUGCUCGGAAUCACUGGGCGUAAAGGGUGCGUAGGCGGGUCUUUAAGUCAGGGGUGAAAUCCUGGAGCUCAACCUCCAGAACUGCCUUUGAUACUGAAGAUCUUGAGUUCGGGAGAGGUGAGUGGAACUGCGAGUGUAGAGGUGAAAUUCGUAGAUAUUCGCAAGAACACCAGUGGCGAAGGCGGCUCACUGGCCCGAUACUGACGCUGAGGCACGAAAGCGUGGGGAGCAAACAGG
This 254-nucleotide ribosomal RNA is filed under the name uncultured bacterium. RNAcentral describes it as "partial 16S ribosomal RNA". It matches the Rfam family "Bacterial small subunit ribosomal RNA", at positions 524 to 776 of the family's 1533-position model. The record is from RNAcentral.